Molecule: ribosomal RNA, 484 nt
Filed under: uncultured bacterium
Lineage: Bacteria
Description: partial 16S ribosomal RNA
Rfam family: Bacterial small subunit ribosomal RNA
Source: RNAcentral
AUUGAACGCUGGCGGCAUGCUUUACACAUGCAAGUCGAACGGCAGCGCGGGCUUCGGCCUGGCGGCGAGUGGCGAACGGGUGAGUAAUACAUCGGAACGUGCCCAGUAGUGGGGGAUAGCUCGGCGAAAGCCGGAUUAAUACCGCAUACGACCUGAGGGUGAAAGCGGGGGAUCUUCGGACCUCGCGCUGUUGGAGCGGCCGAUGGCAGAUUAGCUAGUUGGUGGGGUAAAGGCCUACCAAGGCGACGAUCUGUAGCUGGUCUGAGAGGACGACCAGCCACACUGGGACUGAGACACGGCCCAGACUCCUACGGGAGGCAGCAGUGGGGAAUUUUGGACAAUGGGCGAAAGCCUGAUCCAGCAAUGCCGCGUGUGUGAUGAAGGCCUUCGGGUUGUAAAGCACUUUUGGCGGGAACGAAAAGGACUGUGCCAAUACCACGGUUCGAUGACGGUACCCGAAGAAUAAGCACCGGCUAACUACGUG